CCCCCCCCCCCCCCCCAUGGUAUGGCCAAUCAAUUUUUUAAUGCUAGAAAUAUUCUGGAUAACCCAGAUUAGACAUUUUUGUUCACACAGAGGGAAUUUUGUCGCCAUUGUUUCAUCAAGUCUGUAUACAGCUAUACACGUAAAAGUUGUAUUACAUCAUAAACCUCAUGUCAUGCGGUGUGUAUUUGAUCAAAUUUCAAUCUCUUUACUUUCUUUCUCUCUCUGUAUAUCUUUCUGUCUCUCCAAAUAUUUCUUUUGGUCUCCCUUUCCCUCUCUUCAUCUCUCUCUCUCUCUUUCUCCCUCUCUCUCUCUCUCAGAAUCCCUUUCUCUCUGCUUCUCUCUCAGUUCCCUUGCCUCUGCUUCUCUCUCUCUCUCUCUCUCUCUCUCUCUCUCUCUCUCUCUCUUUGUGUGUGUGUGUGUGUAUCCAUUUCUCUCUGCUUCUCUCUCAAAUCCCUUUCUCUCUGCUUUUCUCUCAGAUCCCUUGUAUCUGCUUCUCUCUCUCUCUCUCUCUCUCUCUCUCUCUCUCUCUCUCUCUCUCUCUCUCUCUCUCUCUCUUUGUGUGUGUGUGUGUGUAUCCAUUUCUCUCUGCUUCUCUCUCAAAUCCCUUUCUCUCACCUUCUCUCUCAGAUCCCUUGUCUCUGCUUCUCUCUCUCUCUCUCUCUCUCUCUCUCUCUCUCUCUCUCUCUCUGUAUCCUUCUCUCUGUAUCCUUCUCUCUCUGCUUCUCUCUGAAAUCCCUUCUCACUCUCUCUGUCUCUCUCUCUCUGUUUGUCUGUCUGUCUCUCUCUCUGUCUGUCUGUCUGUCUGUCUGUCUCUUUCUUUCUCUCUCUCUCUCUCUCUCUCUCUCUCUCUCUCUCUCUCUCUCUCUCUCUUUUUCUCUCUCUCUCUCUCAUGUUUAAGAGUAAGGAUAUAAUAUAAUUCCCCAUAAUACAGGUUAAAUGGAAAGAAUAAACAAUAUCCUCACAAUACAGGUUAAUUGAAAAAACCGCAAUGUCUUCAUAAUACAGGCUAAAUAUUAAAAAAAAAACCACGAAAAACAAUGUUCUCACAAUACUGGUUAAAUGUAAAAAAUGGCCUUACAAUACAAGUUAAAUGUAAAACAUGUCCUGACAAUGCAGGUUAAAUGUAAAAGUAAAAAAAAAAAUAAAAAAAAUAAAAAAAUAAAUAAAUAUAAUAAUAACGUCCCCACAAUACAGGUUGAAUGUAGAAAAUAAUUUCCUCACAAUACAGGUUAAUUGUGAAAUUAGAAAAGUUCUCACGAUACAGGUUGAAUGUAAAAAAAAAAAAAAAAAAAAAAAAAAAUCGUCCUCACAAUACAGGUUAAAUGUAGAAAAUAAUGUCCUCACAAUAUUUUAUUAGUCCCAUUAGGACAGUUCUAGUUGCAACAGAAAUGUUUUUGUUUUCAAACGGUGAGUCAAGGGAUGCUCUAGUGUAUAUAAAAAAUCGAGAGCACAAAACAAAGGGGAAACGUGUAUUAAAUAAUAAUACAUUUUGAUAAAAAAAAAAAAAAAAAAAAAAACCCAUCGAAAACCGGGAUUUAUCAUUUAUCUUCACACAUGAAAGAAAUAAAAGGAACACAAUUGCUAUAAUCAUCGGGAACGGUAUUAACAUGCACAAACUACUUUAUUCAUACCAAAAUUUCAAAUGAAUGAAUUUUUAUGAGGCGUAAAGGCUUAUUUUGGAAGAAAAAUCGAUGAAAAUGAGGAGAAUUAAUAUGAAACUCGUAAACAUUGAUUCUGGCACAAAAUGAGGUACUAUUUAUAUGAAACAGUUAAAGAAGUGAUGAUUAAUUCAUAAAAAUUAUUUAACAGUUUGAGAUUUUAAAAUCAUGAGUGUAUCAGUGGCGGAUUUAAGGGAUCGUAACCGCCCCCUUUAAAUUUUUCAAAAUUAAGGUAACUCAUGGUCUUUUCUUUAGAAAAUUGUAAACGAUAAAAGAAGCAAUAAUUUCUCCACUCUCGGAGUAAUAAAUGACAAAAUAUUUUGAUUUAUUUGAUUACUUUAAUUGGGAGAAUUUGCACACCCCCCCCCCCCCAACCGCCCCCCCCCCCCCCUUAAAACUUGCGUCAUUUUAUUAAUUUCACUUUUAUCCUAAAUAACAGAAAAUAGUAAAAAUAACUACUUAGGAGACAUAUUUCAAGCCCUAUAAAAUCUGUAAAAUCCAUGCAGGAGUUCAAAGCGCCCCCAGACCCCCUGCCUCAUAAACUUGCGCCCCCCCCCCCCCCUCCCUCCCUAACCGCAAUUCCUGGAUCCGUCCCUGUGUAUGAUCCCGUAGUCGUGUUUGCUCUGUUCGUUUGUUUGUCAGUCCGCAAAAUGUUUAACUUUGGCCAUAACAUUUGAAUGGUAAAUGACAGUAUUUUCACAUUUAAUAUGUGUAUUUUUUGUGACAAAACCUUUAGAUGGUACCAAACAUUUUGACAUUGUAACCUUGAUUAUUGAUCUACUUUUGUGUCCUUGAAAAAAAACUUGCUUAGGGUGUUGGGAUUUGCUUACGAGUUAGAAAAUUCACGCUACAUGUUAAGUAAUAAAUUGAAUCGGGUUCAUCAAAUUAGCCGGGGCGAGGGUAUUGUUUUUGACCAUUCCUCAUUUCUUUCUCUACAAAUAUCUAUAAAUUUCUUUGAGAAAUUUACAGUUCGGAUAGAAAAGCCAUUAACGCCACGUUUCCUAUCAGAAAAUUUGCUUAAAAUAUACAUUUCUUGUCGAAGUAAAAAGUAGGUGUUGUUGAGCGAAGACCGCGACUUGAUCAUUCGUGAUUAAGACUUGUAGAUUUAAACACCAAAUUUUCCUUUAAAAAAAUUAUUGUGUUGGGAUUAGUGUAGUCACGGCGACAUUUUUGAUGCACUCUUUUGCCACGCAUUGUUACAGUAAGUCAGUAAUUAUAGUGACACACAUCAUAUCGUAUAAAUGCGAAUUCAAAACACCCGAUUCAUCGGAUCUAUAUGUCACUGUGAUAAAGAAAUAAUAGCAAUAAAAAGACAAUAAUUACGCAUAGUGUUUUCUGUAAAUCAAAGAAUGUCUGUAAAUAUAAGCGGAAUGUAUAAACUGGGUGGUUUGCCGAGGGAAAUUUGUUAAUAAAAAAUAAUACAAUCUAAGUUGACAUACACAAUGUGGGGUACAAGUAGUAACAAAUCUGUUUUGAGAUUUAAGUAUGCAGUAUAAGGUAGUAAAACGUGAAUCUUCUACACAAUCUAUUAAAAGUGAUUGAUUGAUUAUUGUUUAACGUCCCUCUCGAAAAUACGUCACUUAUAUGGAGACGUCACCACUGCCGAUGAAGGGCUGCAAAAUUUAGGCCUAUAUACUCGGCGCUUAUGGCCUUUGAUCAUGGAGGGAUCUUUAUCAUGCCACACUUGCUGUGACACGGGGCCUCAAUUUUUUCGGUCUCAUCCGAAGGGCCGCCCCAUUUAUUCCCCCACGAGAACACAAUCUAAAGAACACAGUGAACAUAUUCUGUCUUCUAAUUCCUCUCCUUUGUAUCACCCCGUUUCUAUUUCUAAUUGGUAGUAUACCACUUCUUCAUAGUGCAAGUAAAGAUCUUAGAUAUUUUGGAAUGCUCGUGGAAAAUUAAUUUUCGGUUCUAAAAUUUGUUUUAAUAUCUCUAUAUAAACAUAACUUAAUAAUUGAUUUACUUUUACAUGUACUAGCCACUACUUCUUAUAGUUAUGAAGCAACUUGUUCUGAAAUCACCAGUGUCACACAAUAGUAAUCUAUUAUAUAUUUUCUAUAGAAUUCAAUCUUUGUAUAGAAUUUAAAGAUUUAGAUAAUGACUUCAUUUGUGAUGUCCAGUUAGACUUAUUAUAUUGAUUCACACAUGUUUAGUAAUGUUGUCCAUUGAUAAUAGACGAUUCCAGUAUCGUAUAGUUUAUACAGUGUCAGCGUUAAGGAUUCUUCCAUCCGAAUUCGCCAUACAUGUAGUGCAGGUGAAGGAAUGAAUCUGUGAUAAUGACGACGUUCGCGAUUCUGAACCAUCUCAAUGUUGUGGUAGUUUCGGAGACCCCAUACUACACUACAAUAGUUCAAAACGAGCUACACAAAUUAAGAAAAGUUUUUCGAAAGUUGAAAUUUCUAGGUCUUUGUAAAAACGAAUUUUCGAGACAAUGGAGUCAUUUCUGACGGCACUGGUCCUGUUCACAAUAUAUUGACUAUCACCACUACCUGAAAAUUACAAAGUCGAUGCAAUUCACUUGUGAGGGACAAAUACCCAAUGCUUGAAAAACAUUUGAUUUUACUAAAUCAGCUGGAAAUUAUUUUCAUGUAUGUACAAUUAGAAGCUAAGUUCAAGGUCGCUCGGUUUAUGGCCGCAUCAAACCUAAGACGCCAUUACUCUUUCACCAAACGCUCGACAUUUCGAAGUGAAAAUCACGGGUCUUUCGAAUAUGACCUUAAAAGUAUCGCGACAGACGUUGGCACGUUAAAGAAUCAUUACAAGUGGUAUUUCACUUUCAACUACAACCAAUCAAACAUUAUAUAAACGUUUGAAGGAGUAUUAAUUGAUAAGAGAUACGUUUUUGUUGUUCUUAUGUUUUUGCGACAUUUAACGCUAAACAUUAUCAACUAAUGGCAAAAACUGCUUUCCAUACUUUUUUGUUUGUUGUUAACGAGGGCUUAAAUAUUGAUAUGAUAUUUUUGUUUUGGGGAGAAGUUAGACUCCAAUAUUUUAUAUUUUUCAAAUUGUAGUUCUUUGAUUAUAUGAUCACUUGGUUUUAGAUGCUUUGGAACCGAUGUCUGUAAGAAUCAGACAUAAUAUGGAUAGUAUACAUAGAAUAUCGUAUAACGUUGAACUUCAUUAGGCCUAAUUAGCUUUUAUACAAAGUCAUUAUUUUUCGUAUGAAAAUAUAAUUAGUGGUAAAACAUUAACACAUGUCUGAAACAAACUAGCAUUUAAGAGGUUAAAAUUGACUUAGCAGUAUAAAUGCAGUACUACAAAGAGCGUCUACAUAACUUCAAUCACCUCCCUUGUAAACUCUUCUGCGUCUAUGGAAGCCAUGCCGUAACAAAGUUUAUGCUCUGAAAAUGUUCUAAUUUAAAUUAGCAAAUCGACGACUUUCCCCUCUCUCUAUUUUGCUCGAUUUUUUAUAUGAUCAUUAUAAGCAUAUUCCACUACAAGUUUCGCAAAAACCAUUUCUGUUGCAAUUAGUUUGAGGUAAAAGAGUAGAAUGACUGGACUAAACGCUCAACAUUUGGUGUGAAUGUCACGGGUCCUCGGAGAUGACCUUAAAACGGAUGACCCGUGUCACAGUAGGUGUGGCACGCCAAAGAACCCUCACUGUUCAAUGGCCGUAUGCGCCGAGAAUAGGCCUAAAUUUGAAGCCCUUCACCGGUAUUGGUGACGUCUCCAAAUGAGUGAAAACUUCUCGAGGAAGACGUUAAACAAGAUACAAUCAAUCAAUCAAUCAUACAAUAAGGUAACUCCAUACGCGCAGUAUUAUCUGAUCAAAGUUUAAAAUGUUUUUUUCUAUUUCAGUUUAUUAAAGUUAAAACUAAUAACUUAUCAAAAAAAUAUUUAGGCCAUCCCACCUUUUAAGAUGCGAGACAUGCAUAUACAAAAUUAUAUAUAUCAACGUCAGAAAAUUGCAUUUUUUCUUCAACAGCAUUAUUGAAAUUUCACACACCAAAAAAAAAAAAAAAAAAUGGUUAAAACGACAUACUAGUAUUCACAAUAAUUUCAUGAAACUGUUUCGCCACAAAACUGUUCAAAAUUUCUGUAAAAAAAAUCAAGAAAAUAUAUCGCAUAAUUAACUUGAUAAAAUAUUAAAUGAAAACAGAGAUAUUUCCCUUCAAUAUUUUGAAACAUAUUAUUGAUUAUUUAAAUAUAAGUUAGACUUUUGAAAUAUUUUAUGUUUAACAAGAUUUUUUACAAUAACAAUUGGAAUAAACUCCAAGAAAAUGUAUGUUCCUAUCAUGCAUAAAUCUAGAUAAAUCCUUGAUUUUGGAAAAUCUUAUGACAUCACAGGAGGGCGGAACUACGUUAAAUGUAUAAAAAAAAAAAAAGAAAAAAAAAAAAAAAAAGAAG
Molecule: long non-coding RNA, 6005 nt
Organism: Ostrea edulis (European flat oyster)
Lineage: Eukaryota; Metazoa; Mollusca; Bivalvia; Ostreida; Ostreidae
Exons: 2
Source: RefSeq, a predicted model, not a curated record